Molecule: non-coding RNA, 1054 nt
Filed under: Drosophila virilis
Lineage: Eukaryota; Metazoa; Arthropoda; Insecta; Diptera; Drosophilidae
Description: Eukaryotic large subunit ribosomal RNA
Rfam family: Eukaryotic large subunit ribosomal RNA
Source: Rfam by way of RNAcentral
UCGGGGAGUAUCGUGGUGGUUGUGGUUUAACACCCAAAUGCGGGUAGAGCAUCGCUCGACGUGGAGUUGCGUCAUACAACCGGGUUCCGUGACCCAGAUUACGGAAGAGGCUUAGAUAGUCCUCGUGCCAAACCAAGGUAGAAGUCACAACCAAACAGUCGUGUCUUUAAUUGGUACCUGCGGAAUUGUUCCAAGGGGGCGGUGAUUGACGCUUGAAUUAAUCCUAUACUAGGAACCGUGAGAUUAAGCCAUCGCGGCAGGUGCUCACGUUAAGCCCACUGACUUUCAUGUCCCUAUCUACUAUCUAGCGAAACCACAGCCAAGGGAACGGGCUUGGAAUAAUUAGCGGGGAAAGAAGACCCUUUUGAGCUUGACUCUAAUCUGGCAGUGUAAGGAGACAUAAGAGGUGUAGAAUAAGUGGGAGAUAUUAGACUUCGGUUUGGUAUCGACAAUGAAAUACCACUACUCUUAUUGUUUCCUUACUUACUUGAUUAAAUGGAACGUGUAUCAUUUCCUAGCCAUUAUACGGAUAUAAUUAUUAUGUCUUAUGGUAUUGGGUUUUGAUGCAAGCUUCUUGAUCAAAGUAUCACGAGUUUGUUAUAUAAUCGCAAACAAAUUCUUUAAUGAGAGAAUGCAUUUAUGUAUUAUUGAUUUAAAAAUUUGGUAUAACUCCAAUUACUCACGUAUGAUCCAAUUCAAGGACAUUGCCAGGUAGGGAGUUUGACUGGGGCGGUACAUCUCUCAAAUAAUAACGGAGGUGUCCCAAGGCCAGCUCAGUGCGGACAGAAACCACACAUAGAGCAAAAGGGCAAAUGCUGACUUGAUCUCGGUGUUCAGUACACACAGGGACAGCAAAAGCUCGGCCUAUCGAUCCUUUUGGUUACAAGAGUUUGUAACAAGAGGUGUCAGAUAAGUGACUAUAGGGAUAACUGGCAUGUGGCGGCCAAGCGUCAUAGCGACGUCGCUUUUUGAUCGUUGAUGUCAGCUCUUCCUAUCAUGUGAAGCAAUUUCACAAGCGUUGUAUGGUCACCAUGAAAGGACGUGAGCUGGUUUA